AAAGAAACUAACAAGGAUUCCCCUAGUAACGGCGAGUGAAGCGGGAAAAGCUCAAAUUUGUAAUCUGGCGCCUUGGGCGUCCGAGUUGUAAUCUCGAGAAGUAUUUUCCGCGCUGGACCGCACAUAAGUCUGUUGGAAUACAGCGUCAUAGUGGUGAGAACCCCGUAUAGGGUGCGGAUGCCCAGUGCUUUGUGAUAUACUUUCGAAGAGUCGAGUUGUUUGGGAAUGCAGCUCAAAUUGGGUGGUAAAUUCCUCUAAGCUAAAUAUUGGCGAGAGACCGAUAGCGAACAAGUACCGUGAGGGAAAGAUGAAAAGCACUUUGGAAAGAGAGUUAACAGUACGUGAAAUUGUUGGAAGGGAAACGCUUGAAGUCAGACUUGCAUUUUGGAGUUCAGCCGCAAGGUGUAUUCUUCAAUUCGCAGGCCAGCAUCAGUUUCUGGGGGUGGAAAAGCGCGGUUGGAAGGUAGCAGUCUCGGCUGUGUUAUAGCUUUCCGCUGGAUUCACUUUUGGGGACUGAGGAACGCAGUACGCUUUUUGCAAGAUUCUCGAGUCUUUCGUACUUAGGAUGCUGGUGGAAUGGCUUUAAACGACCCGUCUUGAAACACGGACCAAGGAGUCUAACAUGCUUGCGAGUGUUUGGGUGUUAAACCCGGACGCGUAAUGAAAGUGAAUGGAGGUGGGAUCCGCAAGGUGCACCAUCGACCGAUCUGGAUUUUCUAAGAUGGAUUUGAGUAAGAGCAAUUAUGUUGGGACCCGAAAGAUGGUGAACUAUGCCUGAAUAGGGUGAAGCCAGAGGAAACUCUGGUGGAGGCUCGUAGCGGUUCUGACGUGCAAUCGAUCGUCAAUUUGGGUAUAGGGG
Molecule: ribosomal RNA, 859 nt
Filed under: Microbotryum violaceum
Lineage: Eukaryota; Fungi; Basidiomycota; Microbotryomycetes; Microbotryales; Microbotryaceae
Description: LSU rRNA
Rfam family: Eukaryotic large subunit ribosomal RNA
Source: RNAcentral